GAUCCUGGCUCAGGAUGAACGCUGGCGGCGUGCUUAACACAUGCAAGUCGAACGGGAAAUACUUUAUUGAAACUUUGGUGGAUUUAAUUUAUUUCUAGUGGCGGACGGGUGAGUAACGCGUGGGUAACCUGCCUUAUACUGGGGGAUAACAGCCAGAAAUGACUGCUAAUACCGCAUAAGCGCACAGAACCGCAUGGUUCCGUGUGAAAAACUCCGGUGGUAUAAGAUGGACCCGCGUUGGAUUAGCUAGUUGG
Molecule: ribosomal RNA, 254 nt
Filed under: uncultured bacterium
Lineage: Bacteria
Description: partial 16S ribosomal RNA
Rfam family: Bacterial small subunit ribosomal RNA
Source: RNAcentral